UACCUACAGUUUUUCAUAUUCGUGCUU
This 27-nucleotide small RNA is filed under the name Bombyx mori (domestic silkworm). Its description in RNAcentral is "ovarian small RNA-20824". The record is from RNAcentral. Lineage: Eukaryota; Metazoa; Arthropoda; Insecta; Lepidoptera; Bombycidae.